CGCCCCUCCUCGGGCCUAUUACUUUGACUAAAUGUGAGCGCUCGAUGCAGGCCCUUGGGGCCUUGAAACCCGCAGCAAAGAAUAACGGAACAGGGGCUCCCUGCUUCCCUCUGGUCAGUGACGGGCCAAUGAUUUAUUGGGGGGAUCGGGGUGGGCCACAUGGCGGGGGUAGGGGUGAAAUCCGUUGAUCCUCGCCAGGUGAACUAGAGCGAAAGCAGCCCACAAGUACCCUUUCUUAGAUCAAGAACGAAAGUCUGGGGAUCGAAGAUGAUCAGAUACCAUCGUAGUCCAGACCCUAAAUGAUGCCGGCCAUGGAUGGGCGCUAGUCCAUCCCGACCCUGCCCGGACCUUGUGAGAAAUCAUAAGCGUUUGGGCUCCGGGGGGAGUAUGGUCGCAAGACUGAAACUUAAAGGAAUUGACGGAAGAGCACACAAGGAGUGGAGCCUGCGGCU
RNAcentral lists this ribosomal RNA (452 nucleotides) under Trichia varia. RNAcentral describes it as "bacterial SSU rRNA". It matches the Rfam family "Eukaryotic small subunit ribosomal RNA", at positions 734 to 1190 of the family's 1831-position model. Lineage: Eukaryota; Evosea; Eumycetozoa; Trichiida; Trichiidae. The record is from RNAcentral.